UGUUGGAUAUUGUUUCAUUUGUUCAGUGUACUAAGCACAUUAAAUAUGAUUAAGUGCUAUUUACCAUGACUACUUAGGUAAUGUCUGUAGCUCUGGUGUUCAUAACUGCUGAAGUUGGAGUUGAAAAUGUAGCGGUUAUGUUUAAGUAGACAGAGUUUCCAAUAAAUUCACUAAACAGCUGAAGGGGAGAUGCAAGCACUGAUGCACAGCUGUGUGGACCUGCAUUGAGUUCAGAAGUAGACCCAGGUGUUUGCAUUGCAUGCAGAAACUCGAUAUUUAAAAUGAUAUAAACGUAAUGAGAUGGAGAAAGCAUGCCUGCCCCUCUCCCCCAACAGAUGGUACUAGCUAGAAUGAUAGGAUGGCCAAAUUCAAAGAACAGAAACCAAAGAGUGAACAAUAAGAACAAGAAGAGUGUUGGUCCAUGUUAUAUACCUUGUAAAAUGUGUUACUGAUGUAAACGUAGAAAUGUAAAACGUGUUUACAAGGUAGUUCACUAGGUAGAGGCACUUGCUGCCAAGCUUGAGGCCCUAAGUUUGGUACUGGGACCCACAUGGUAGAAGGAAAGGACUGACUCUCACAACCUGUCCUCAGACCUCCAUGGGGGCGGGUUAGCACAUGGGUAAACACAAAAAUGACUGACUAAUGUAAAUGUAACAAAGUCUUUAAAAUGUGAAUGAAAGAAACAAAACUUGUGGGAAUUUGUCCCCAUCAAUACUAGUUACUGAAUUCAGGACCUCUAGCAUGCUAGCACUGAACUAUAUCCCUAACCUCAGGAAAUCUUUCUUUGAAAGAAAGGAUUGGGUUGCUAGGCAUAAUGGUGCACCCCUUUAAUCCCAGCACUCAGGAGGCAGAGGCAGACCAGGCUCUGUAAGCAGAGAUUGCUCGUUCAUUCCCGGCCACCCAGACCUGAAUAAUCACACUAUAUUAAUUACAACACUCUUUGGCUGAUGUCUCAGGUGUAUUUUUAGCUAGCUCUUACAUCUUAAAUUACCCAUUUCUAUUAAUCUGUAUUGCCACGAGGCUGUGGCCUACCAGUAAGGUUCCAUUGUUCAGGCUUCUUUCUCCUAUGGCAACUACAUGAUGUCUCGUUGACUAUGCCUACUCUCUUUCUCUCUCUAUAUAUAUCUCUUCCAGCCUGGCUAUAUUCUGCCCUGCCAUAGGUCGAAGCAGCUUCUUCAUUAGCCAAUGCUAAUAAAACAUAUUAUUUAUAUAGAGGGGAAUCCCACAUCAUCUCCCCUUUUCUGUCUUAUUUUAAAAGGAAUGUUUUAACUUUAACAAAAUAAAAUUAUAUAUAACAAGACAGGUAUCAAGUAAGAAUUGCAGUUAUAAUAUUUAGUUCAUUUACAUUUGGCUAAUUAAGGAAAAUAUUAUCUAUCAUGUCUUUUUGAGUCUAAUGUUUUAUUUCUAAUUUAUCUUUUAUUAUUACUAAGAAAAACUAUAACUAUCUGUCUUCAACUCUUCAAAGACCCCAGAAGGAUAUACUAUUACUUAAAUAAACAGGAAGUGCAUUAUAAACAACUUUAUAAGCAAAGUUCUAGAAUUGACAGAGACCUCUUGCUGCCUGGACAGUCACCCAAAGUUCUUUUGUAACAUUGGGGAUCCAUUGUCAGCCUACAGGCCCAUAGUAUCUGGCAGACUUUUCCAUGAAGCAGGAAAUAGGAAGAUUUAUCUGUUCUGCCUUAUACUGGCAAAGUUCAUCAGUUGCUUUCUUCUGUGUCCUGCAGAAUGUCUGGCAGACUCUUUCAUGAAGCAGGGAAUCCUGAAGGAUCAUCUCACUUUCUUUUUAGCAAGUUUCUCAGUCAUUUUUCUGUGGCUCCUGCAUGUCCAGUUCAUACAGAAUACCAUGAAGCACUCCAGGCAAGAGCAAUUUCUUGCCCAAAUGGCUAACAAACUCCAUAAGAGCCUCUUUGAUGCCCAUCAUCCUCUUGAAGUAGACUGGUGCUGCCAGAAUCAGACAUGUCUCACUGUUGAGAAAAGUCUAAGUUCUUAAAUCAUUUUAAAUGCCAUAUUCUAUAGGUCUUUAAAGUGUUGAAGAUUAUCUAUCUAACUGAAAUAGAUCUCUGUAUAUCUAGAAAACUUAGCUAACGUGACUACAAAUUUGACUAUUAUAGAACACUGUUGAUCUGUAUUUUUUAAUUAUACGUACAUUUUUAAAUGAGCUGCAUAAACACAUACCUUAAACAAAAAUAGAAAUAUACAUAUACCAAAUUGACCUCAAAUUUGUAUCAAUAAACCAAAGUCUAUACUAAUGUAAAGUAUUUAUUUCUAUAUCCUACUCCUCUUUAAAUGAAAACAUUUAUAAACAAUCGUUUGGGGAAUUUGGGCAUAGUUUUUCCAAAGUGCUUCCAGCUGUUUGUUGGAUGAAGUAUUUUUAGGGUUCAUGGAGACCUUUUGGGGUCUUGUCCUAUCAAAUCACAUUAGCCUGGAAGGAAUUCACAGGUUCUCAUCCUCUGUGGGAACAAAAGCAGAUCCUCUUUUUCAAAGUUACAUAUCCUUAGACCCAAAUUUUGAAGUUAAGAUACCUUUAUGUUGAAUUAAUUUAUCAUCCUCCAGAAACAAAUGUCUCUGCAGUCAAAAAAUUUAAAGAAAACACAAUAAUAUACAUAACCCAGACUUUCUGUGCAUUUUCAUCUUUACAUGGCUCAUUUUUCUUUACUCUUUUAAGCUAUGACUAUCUGUACUCUUAAAUUACUUUUAUUGUCUCUUUAAAGACUUUGUUUUAUUUUAAAAGCUAUUUUUUAUUACUGUCUAUACUCUUUUUUUUCUCUCUCCCACACCUACUGUACAUUUUUAAAACAUACUGUGUCUUGUUUAGAGGCCUUUUAUGUCUGAAUCUGUACUAUUGUGUAUCUGAAAUGUUUUUCUGACAAGGAGCUUUUUGUUGUUGUUGUUGUUUUCUUUUUUGUUAAGAGGGCAUGGCAAGGACCAUCUCCAUGGCCCUGCCUGUUUCCCAGUCCAGCAUGGUAAAGAGCAGAAAAUGGGACAAAGCUAAGAACUCAAAGCCCUUCCCAGGGACAUACGUCUCCUGCAAGGGUCUGCCUGCUAAAGGUUCCAUUACCUCCCAAACAGCACCACCAGCUGGGGACCAAGUGUUAAAUACAUGAGUUUGUGGGGGUGGGGGCAACCCUAUGUUUAAAAAGAAAAGAAAGGUACUAGAUUUUAGCAGACACUUUCCAAAGAAGAUACUGUUGGAAAGUAAAGACAACCCCCCCCCCCCCAGAAAAAAA
This is a long non-coding RNA of Alexandromys fortis (reed vole), 3227 nucleotides long. RefSeq lists it as uncharacterized. NCBI's taxonomy places the organism in Eukaryota, Metazoa, Chordata, Mammalia, Rodentia, Cricetidae. The transcript is spliced from 2 exons. The record is from RefSeq and is a predicted model, not a curated record.